GGAAGGAACCAGGGUGAAGAGCAGCUCAUUUUUAAGCUGGAGAGGUUAACAAACACUGGCUGCAGGAUUUACUUUGGUUUAGGAAUACCACUGUCUCACAGGAGUGUCAAUCAAAAUUCCACAGCCAUUCUUCGACACUAGGAGGUGGGACUGACUGAUGUACAGCAGUGAUUUGACCCAGCACUUGGGGCAAACACAACCAGAGUCUUCGGUGUUAAUUCCCUGGUCUUCCCAACUAGCAUUCUGAAAGUGCAUUAACAUUUGUGGCCUUGUGCUCUUUCAUCGGACUUCUAAUGAGAAUUGUUUUUGCAAGCUGUUCAAGUAAGAAUUAGGUCUGCCAACAUUUUUAGAUGGCCUGUAAAAUUUACAUAAUGAUUUGGCCAUGCCCACAUGAGAACUACCUACAUAUACAGAAGUGCUCUCUUUAAUCUGUUACAAGCAUGACUUCUAUUAAACCUAUAG
Molecule: small RNA, 462 nt
Filed under: Pan troglodytes (chimpanzee)
Lineage: Eukaryota; Metazoa; Chordata; Mammalia; Primates; Hominidae
Description: processed transcript
Source: RNAcentral